RNAcentral lists this long non-coding RNA (7595 nucleotides) under Capsicum annuum. RNAcentral describes it as "long non-coding RNA (CANN_LNC010304)". The record is from RNAcentral. Lineage: Eukaryota; Viridiplantae; Streptophyta; Magnoliopsida; Solanales; Solanaceae.
AAAAAAUAAACCCUCCUACCAUACGACUCCUAAAUCAUUUUCGUGCCUUUGCAAAAAUGAGCCGCACCUUUUCACUCCCUUCUCUCUUCUGUCUCUCUAAGGUUAACCACAAGCGAACACCACGCUCUGGUGAGCCGUGUCGCCGGCAAGUCCGCUGCCCCUCAUUUCUUCCUCUUCUCGUUCCCUCCAUCGCGCCACCAGCCGCCGCUGCACAAUAGUCAUGCAGCCGGCGAGCAAACCAGUGCCAUCGCCGCCGCCGCCUCUCAUCAUCUCCUCUAUCUGCUACCAGCACCGGCAACCAGCCCAACGAUCAGCCGGCGAGAAAUGCAUUCAGUUAAGCCCAACGAUCCUUUUUGGGUGCUAUUGAGAAGGUUAGAGUAGUUCUUGCUAAUUUUGCUUUAAAAUUAAUUAAUUCUUGAGGAGUUAUCCCUACAGAUCUUAAGACUAUUCAUCUUAGACUCUUUCCUACAACGUUUCAGUAUAAUUGUUUUUUUUCCUUUCCUCGAAUUAGAGAUUAAUGUUAAAUUCUAAGAUCUGCUUUAGGUUUCACCUCUUCAAUUACACCGAGGCUUUAUUACCUAUUGUCCGUUUCCAAUUUGUGGAAAAGCUUAGAAAAUAACCUGCUUUUCCCAGAAUCACUUAGAUAGUUUAAUACCAUCAUCUGAGUUAGAUGGCUGGCCUUAUAAAAUGAAUACUUAUAUUUAUUUCAUGGAAGUAUCAAUGCUAAAAAUAAGUUACAUGAGCUGGCCUUGUAAAAUGAGUUUGAAAUGCUUCACCUUUGACGAUUAGGGUAAGAGAAGUAUAUCUACGCACAUGACUAUUCUCUAAAAAGGAACUAAAAGUUUGUUUUGGCUUUUAUGGAUGAUGAGCAGUACCAUUAAAAGAUUGACACUCAAGCGCAAAGCUUCCCGAGUAGAACUUAAAUAAGCUUUACAGUUUAAAUUGGUUGUCCAGAGAUAAUAUUAAAUGUGCAACUGUAUUUUAAUUUAGCAAUUCAGUCAAAAUAUCUUUCUAUUUGUUAUGGCUUUUUUUAUUGAUACGAGUCAAAGGGCCAUCAUAGUUUUUGAUGACAUCAUUCGAGGCCCAUACUUGAAGAUUCAAGCUUUGGUCAUACUUAGGGUACAAGGACAUGCAUGGAGGACUCAAUUUUAAAUUACAAUAGAGCAAAACCAUGUUUGGAAGAUUGCUUGGGACUUGUGUUGAUGCCUACCAAAGGGUUCCAAGAGGUUUCACAUUUUGAAGCUUUAAGAAGAAAGGACCCAUGAAGCAUUAGUGGGGUGGCCUUGGAGUGUAAACACUCAUUAAGGGUGUUUUAGUCUUUUUAUGCCAUUUCUUUACACUCCAUAGGAGCCCUUUUUCAUUUACGGUAUUUUGAUAUUUUAUGUAAUAAGCUAUAAAUAGACUCUUUAGGCUUAUUUUCUCAUUAGUUGAUUAUUGAUAUUUGAAAGACUUCUUCUUCUCUCUUUGAGAGUGUAGUGUAGGGCUUUGAAAAGCCAAGUAGAGUAGGGCUUGGAAAAGCCAUUAUUGAUCUUUGCUUAGAAACGGUGGUUGUAAGGCGGAGUUGAUUCCCUUAGUGGUCACCGUAAGAAUUUGGUGUUGUAAUUGCGGAUCUUAAGGUUCUUAUCAUUUGAUACACGAUUUGGUUCAUUUUCUCGUAAUCUCGUAUGUCAAGCUAUCUAUCUUACUUUAUUGCAUUUGUUUGUUCUCUUUUUUCUCUUAGUCUUCAUCUCUUUAGGUCAUUCUUUUAUCAUUUGGUAUCAAAGCAAGGUUUGAUUUUGUUCCAACAAAAUCAAUCUUGGGAUUGUUAUCUUGAAGAAAAAAAGUGAAAAAGAAAAAAAAAGAAAAAAUUUAUUGUUCACGUUUUUAGAGUUUUUUAUUUUUUGAUACUUGAUUUUUGUUUGUUUUGUGUGUUUCUAGUGUUAGAUCCUUGUUCCCUAACACUAUUAGAGUCUAGAAAUUGAAAAUCCCAACAAAAAGAAGUGUCAAAAUAAAAAAUCCCCCCCAAAAAAUACUAAACCCGUUUUUGAACGUAGGUCAAAUUUUGAGUUUUUUAUUAUUUUUUUUUUUGUGUUUUUAGUGUUAGAUUUGAGUUCUCUAACACUAUAGGAGUCUAGGGUUUGAAUUUGUGCUAAAUUGAAGGUGAUUUGAGCCAUCCGCCAUUGUUGAUCUUGAGUUUGAAGAAACUUGAAGGUGAGAUCUCAUUGUGGAAGGUUGUUGUUGACGUUUUUGGAGAUGAAAACAUGAUAUUUGUGGUUGGAUUGUCAACGUGAGCUUGGAUCUUCAAGAAAAAUCAAAUUCCGAGUUCAUUUGCUUAAGGGUCAACUUUGAGUCAAACUUUGAAUGUUCUUGGUGUUCUUCAUGUUCUUCAUGUAUUGUUGAACAAGAACAUUCAAAAAGUGUUGUUUGAUCUAAAAAGGUGGAGAAAGAGAGUGUACUACUUGUUUGUCUCAAAGAAUAUUCCAAGCAUAUUCCAAGUCUUUCAAAGGAAGAAAAGAAUUCAAAAGGCAUCAAAAGGAAUGUUCUCAAAGAAGAGGACAAGGGAAAGUACAAGGGGGGACCAUCACAAAUUCAAACUCUUUUGAGCUAGAAAAAAAGGUCCAUUCUUUGUGUUUUCUUCAUCAAAACUGAUCCUACCUUCCUCCUAAGUUGAAGAUUGAUUGAAUACAAGUUGAAUACAAGAAAAUUUUUUCAAAACAUCAACCAACCAAAGGCUGUCACAUCAUCACCAAGGGCUGCCAAAAAGCUUAAGCUCAAAUUUCAGAUUCUAAGUUUCAUUUCCUUGUUUCUUUAGUUUCAUUUCUUGAUUCUAGAACUAAUUAACAACUAGUAAUCACCUACUUAGUUGCAAAUUAGUUGCUUGAGUCCGUUUUCUUCCUGUUUUUAUUCUUUGUGUGCUUUUCUCGUUUUGACUCGUUGAACUUCUUUGUUUCAAGUUCAUAAGUAGAUUUUGUAUUGUGUCUUGAGUUGAUCAAACAAGAAUCUAUUUCGGCCACUAAGUAGUGAUUGACACCUUAUUGACUACCGAAGUAUAAGCAACUUUUAAUAUUCGCUGCUUCACUUGUGAGGAUCACAAAGGUGAGAGUAUAUACGAGUGUUGGUGAGGACCUUUUACUACUAAUCUUGUUUGUUCAUUUUGUAGGUACAAGGUGAUAUAAGGGGAACAUAUCUUGGUAGCCUUGGACUAUUGUGACUACAACAUGGGAGACUAUGAUUGUAGUGAGGAAUUUUAUGACUACGAUGAUGUUAGAGAUUAUGGGGACUAUGAAUAUAGCCAUGAUCAAGACAUAAGCAGAAUUGAGAGUUAUGGUUUUGAGGGAAAAAAUGAGGUAAAUGAAGUUCCUAGUGCUUAUGGUGGAUAUGGAGAUGAUGUAGGGCUUUAUGAUGGUUCUUAUGAUGAAGUUAGGGCAUGUGAGAAGUCUUACACUUCCCACUCUGAACCUAGAAUUUGUGUAAGGUCUUUUCUUCGCAAAGCGUAUGAGAGCCUUGGUGAGAGUGCACAUGUGGAGCAUGAAGAUUUAUAUUCUUCACGUUGUAGCACAUCUUAUCAAGGUCGAAGUGGCAUGAAUGGGUAUACUAGCUAUAGUGUAGGUUAUCCCAUAAGAAGAAGAGAGAAUACAUCUCCAAGGCCGAGGGGUACUCAUAUGCCCAUAGGUUUUCCUAAACUCUACAAUGUUGAUCCUAGAAGAAGUGUUCACUCCAGAAAGGUAAGCAUUUAUGGGGUACCGGGCUGCCUCCUCAUGCUAGAUAAUUGGCGCCAUCAGAACUACAUUAUCCCAAUGAUUGACUAUUUGAGGUUGUUUUGAGAACCUUUACUUGUUCCAUAUUACUUGUACUUGUAUAAGGUUAUCGAGAGAGUGAGAAUUGUCUUCACCCAAUUUGAAUACUAUGAGGAGGUAUGGUGCGAUAUCUUUCCCUUGACACCAGGUCAUGUAUGCUUGGGUGCCGAUUGGUUUUCACAACAUAGAUUUCCAAAUGUGCUAAAUUGGCCUAAGGUUGUAGUGGACAGUUGGGGAAAUUAUCUCUUUACCUCAAUUCUUCCCAAACUGCAAGGAUAUGUGAUCACUUAAUCCGUCCCGAAUAUGAGAUACAAAAGAUUGAGAGGAGUAAGGGUGUGCAAGGUGGAAAUCCAAGAGUGGAAAAAGGAGAAGUUGUGUGGAAUGAAGUGAGGGGGUUUUCACCAAACCGUGCUAACUAUGUUUGUCCUUCUAUUUCUAAGGACAUUUGUGUAGGUACUAAUAUGACAAGUGGAGAAGCACAAGUCCAAGGAGAAGUUGCUGCCGAACAUGUGGGAAACCUUUACACCACGGCAAAGAAGAAUUUACUCAAGAACUUUAAGGUAAAAUAGCUAACUCUUACACUUUUGUGCAUGUGAAUAAUAAUUAUGUGGCUAGUAGCCCAUUAAGUGUGAGUAGUAGCUUACCUAUUUGUGAUUCUAUUGAUUCUUUGCCUCUUGUUGGAGAUGUACUUGUUGUGAGUGUGGAUACACUAGUUAAUCUUAUUGAUGUCCGAAUUGACUCUUUUUAUAAAAUCAAUUUAAGUCCACCUAGUGUUGAAGCCAUUGUGUUGAAUCAUAAUACAUCAUCUAUUGAUUCUUUGCCCCUUGAUGAUGAUGUACAUAUUGUGAAUAUGGAUACACUAGUUGAUCCUAUUGAUGAACGAAUUGACUCUUCUUAUAAGAUCAAUUUAUGUCCACCUAGUGUUGAAGCAAAUGUGUUGAAUGAUAGUACAUCAUCUUGUGGGAAUUGUGUUGAUCAACUUAUGUGCGAAAUUUGUCCACCACUUGAGGAUGUGUGUGAUGUAUUUAAUAGAUCUCAAGUGAGUGAUGAUGUUGAAAAUGUUGAUCAAAUAAAUAGUAGUGAUCCCUUUAGCAUGACCUCUAGUGAAUGUUCUACUAGCGGUUUUGCUCAUAAGGAUCGUGUGUUUGAAACUUCUUUGGAACUUGAUAAUUGUCCUUUAGAGAGUGAGCUUGCAUGUUCUAAAUCUUGCUUGAGGGUAGAUCCUCCUCUUUUUAGGUAUAAAAUCUUGUUCAAAGAUGGUCCAAUCACUCCUAAUGAACCUAGUGGUGAGAAUGAUAUUGAAGGUAUAGCUUGUCUUGAAGGCUAUAGCCUAUAUACUAACCCACUAUGGUGUGACAACAUACCUCCUAAAGAUGGAAAUCUCUUCUUGAAAGAUGAGAGUACUGUUAAGGGUAAGGAAUGUGUAGUCUUAGAAAGGAAUGAUCAAUUGGGUAAUGAUAUCUUUGAUUUGCUUGAAUAUUUGAGAAACCCAACAAGUGAUUAUUCCUUGAAAAUUGAUUGUGGUUGUGAUCCUUUGUAUGAUUCCCCACCCAUGUUUGAUGACUAUGAGGAUGAAUUGCUUGCUUCUUGUGAAGACUUAAGUAAUAAUCCAUUUGAUUCUGCUUGUGGUGUGUAUCUACUUGAGGGUUCUUCCAUGAAAAGAAAAAGUGUCCAUUGCUUGGAAAUUACUUCUUCUUCUACUUUGUGUGACCUUAUUGUUGAGAGUACUCAUGGUGAUGAUUUUGAAACUAGUAGUGAGUACAUACAUGAGGACACCUUAGUUGAAGUUGACUUGAGUGAUACCUUUCUCUACUCUCUAUUUCUUUUGAUGAUAUAUAUGCUAUUGUAGAGAGUGUGUAUUUUAGAUUGGGUAAAGCCUGUGGGGAAAAAGAGUGUUGUCUAGAUCCAUGUCUAUGGCCACUUUUUCCAUUUAACCUGGGUGCCAAAUGUAGAUAUUAUGAUGUUGGCACACCCAAAUUGUUGCUUGGUCUACAUGACAAGCAAAGUGACAUUUUUGAAAACUCGAGGGCAAAGGUGUCAUUGUCUUCUUGGGGUAAUGUUACUAAAUGUGCAUCCUUGCUUGACACACUUGUGCUUAAGUNNNNNNNNNNNNNNNNNNNNNNNACACCCAAAUUGUUGCUUGGUCUAUAUGAUAAGCAAAGUGACAUUCUUGAAAACUCAAGGGUAAAUGUGUCAUUGUCUUCUUGGGGUAAUGUUACUAAAUGUGCAUCCUUGCUUGGCACACUUGUGCUUAAGUUGCAUGAUUCCUAACUUGUGGAUGCCAAGUUGAUACUUUACUUGAAAGGAAGAGGUCAUAUGUGCUUUAGUGCCUUAAAUCCAUCCUUGUGUGCUUUAUGUGUUAUAUCUUAUGGGCCAAAUUGCAUUCUUAUAGAUGACAAUGCCUUGGAUGAUGCCUUUACACUUGAUUCCUUCUUAUACUACCUCUUUGCCUAUGAUGACAUCCACACUAGUUUUGGAUUUGUUUUAUGUAGAGGUAGGGAACUUGUUGGUUGGUUCACUUAUUUGAAUGACAAUGCUAUGUGGGUUUGGUGGACAAUAAGACCAAUAGUGGCACCACUUUUGAUGAGGACACUUGAAGAGGUAAUGAAACAAUUGUGUCUAGUGGUUUCUAAUAUAAAGGUAGUUUUACCUUUUGGCUUUAGUGAUACCAUUAAGACCUUUGUAGUUUCUUUAUCUCUUGAUACUUGUCAUAGCCAUAUCCUUUGUGACAUUUUCACUAAUCUUUUCAUGACUAAAAUAAAGGAUUCAUGGUUAUAUUUUAAGUGUGUACCCCCUUGGCAUGAUGAUGUUAUUUGUUGUACUAACCCUAACCCUCAUGCCAUGAGGAUGUUAUGCUUGUUUGUCCUUUCUUUGGUUUUGCAAGGUGUGGAUUCGAGGUCGAAUCCUUUUCAAGAAGGGGAGGAUGAUACAAGCCAAAGGUCCAUCAUAGCUUUUGAUGACAUCAUUCGAGGCCCAUACAUGAAGAUUCAAGCUUUGUUCAUACUUAGGGUACAAGGACAUGCAUGGAAGACUCAUUUUAAAAUUACAAUAGAGCAAAAUCAUGUUUGGAAGAUUGCUUGGGACUUGUGUUGAUGCCUACCAAAGGGUUCCAAGAGGUUUCACAUUUUGAAGCUUGAAGAAUAAGGGACCCAUGAAGCAUUAGUGGGGUGGCCUUGGAGUGUAAACACUCAUUAAGGGUGUUUUAGUCUUUUUUGUGCCAUUUCUUUACACUCCAUAGGAGCCCUUUUUCAUUAAGGGUAUUUUGGUAUUUUAUGUAAUAAGCUAUAAAUAGACUCUUUAGGCUUAUUUUCUCAUUAGUUGAUUAUUAAUAUUUGAAAGACUUCUUCUUCUCUCUUUGAGAGUGUAGUGUAGGGCUUUGAAAAGCCAAGUAGAGUAGGGCUUGGAAAAGCCAUUAUUGAUCUUUGCUUAGAAACGGUGGUUGUAAGGCGGAGUUGAUUCCCUUAGCGGUCACUGUAAGAUUUUGGUGUUGUAAUUGCGAGACUUAAGGGUCUUAUCGUUUGAUACAUGGUUUGGUUCCUAUUUCUCGUAAUCUCGUAUGUCAAGCUACCUAUCUUACUUUAUUGCAUUUGUUUGUUCUCCUGUUUCUCUUAGUCUUCAUCUCUUUAGGUCAUUCUUCUAUCAUUUAUGAUCCAUAAUAAUUAAACACUGACUUGAACAGGACUAAAGAAAACACUGAAAUCACCAUUCUAUAUAUUAUUUCGUACAACUUUUGAUUCUUUUGUUUCUCUUAACCAAAAUUUCCUGCAUAGCUGUAGCAUUUUAAAAGUAAAAAAAGAAAUCUUCACUUAUUCAUUGUUU